UGCUUGCAAAAUAGUUUUUUCAUCAUAACUAGUUGAUAAAAAAAUAACUGUAUUAUUAAUACACACCAAAAGAAGAAUAAAUUUUUUAUCUACAACAUAUCCACUAUUGACAUUUUUCAUUCUUGAGGUUUUUGUUGUUCUUUGAGAGUUGCUACUUCCUUAUUUACUAGUAUUUGUUGUUGAUCCAAUGCCCCUUUGUCAAAGCUUAGUCUUUCUCAGUUGCUUUCCUUUUCUUAGGAGGUGAUCUUUUCUGAAAGAUGAAAUUGUUUUACAUCAGUUUCACUUAAUGACUGAAAAAACAAAAAUAAUAUCAAUUUUUGUAUGAGAAGAUUAGUUGAUUAACAAACUAAUCAACAUCUUUUAAGUUCAUUAAUUUACUAAUCAACUACUGUUGAGUUGAUUAAUAUAUUAAUCAAGUUUUGAUCAUAUCUUAAUCAACUUAAAUUUAAUAAUCUCCGGUUGAGAUGAUUAAUAUAUUAAUCAAGUUUUGAUCAUAUAGUAAACAACUCAAAUUUAAUCAUCUCCGGUUGAGGUGAUUAAUAUAUUAAUCAACUGAAGUUGAACUUGGUUACCAACACAAUUGAAAGCUAACGGUUGAUAAUCAAUAUUGUUUGAGUAGAUUGGUACAUUAAUUAACUGUUGAUUAAUUUACUAAUCAACUCAAACUGAAGUUGAACUUGGUUAGCAACAAUAAUAUUUUAAGUUUUUAACCAAUUGAACUGAUUUUUACAUCAAAAUAAGAAAUUAAAAAUUUUAACUUACAUCAUAAUCAGAAAUAUGGUCUUCAAAAUCUAAAUCUCUCUCUUCCUCGUCGUGACGAUUAGGUAUGCUUUUGAGAGAUUUCCUAUUUUUCUAAAGACCCGUUGUUAUAGUAUGUUUAGCUCUUCCCAUUGCAAAACCCUUAAUCUAAAUCUAAGGUUUUGGAAAAAAAAUAUAUUGGAUUUUAGAAAACUAGGGUUUGAUUUAAGUUUUAUUUUGGUUGAUUGGAGUGAAAUUAGAGAGAAAUUGCACAGAGGAUCGAAGAAAUUGAAUGUCCGUGUUGAAGUCCGAGAAAGAGGACGAAGAGAGAGAAGGAUUUCGGGUUUGAUCGAAAUUGAAGAAGAAACCUCCCAUUAACCAUUACUGGCGACGUAUCCUCAGAACAGGACAAGCAUAAUACAUGCCCGACCGGACCACUUAAUCAACUCCCCACCAGACCACUUAACUUCAUCACUUCAUUAUGAUAUUUGUGUGUUCGCUUUGAAGUACUAGUCAUUUAGACAAUUGACAUGGAUGGCAGGAUAUGAGGAUAUGCAUUUGUGUGUUUGUUAACAAAUAAUGAUAAGAAAACUUUG
Molecule: long non-coding RNA, 1334 nt
Filed under: Aquilegia coerulea
Lineage: Eukaryota; Viridiplantae; Streptophyta; Magnoliopsida; Ranunculales; Ranunculaceae
Description: long non-coding RNA (ACOE_LNC001120)
Source: RNAcentral